This 299-nucleotide signal recognition particle RNA is filed under the name Aotus nancymaae (Ma's night monkey). Its description in RNAcentral is "Metazoan signal recognition particle RNA (ENSANAG00000005891.1)". It matches the Rfam family "Metazoan signal recognition particle RNA". Rfam says of the family: The signal recognition particle (SRP) is a universally conserved ribonucleoprotein. It is involved in the co-translational targeting of proteins to membranes. The eukaryotic SRP consists of a 300-nucleotide 7S RNA and six proteins: SRPs 72, 68, 54, 19, 14, and 9. The record is from RNAcentral. Lineage: Eukaryota; Metazoa; Chordata; Mammalia; Primates; Aotidae.
GCUGGGCACAGUGGCACGUGCCUGUAGUCCCAGCUACUUGGGAGGCUGAGGUGGGAGGAUCGCUCAAGCCCAGGAGUUCUGGGCUGUAGUGCGCUAUGCCAAUUGAGUGUCUGCACUAAGUUCGGCAUCAAUAUGGUGACCUCCUGGGAGCGGGGGACCACCAGGUUGCCUAAGGAGGGGUGAACUGGCCCAGGUAGGAAACGGAGCAGGUCAAAACCCCUGUGCUGAUCAGCAGUGGGAUCAUGCCUGUGAAUAGCCACUGCACUCCAGCCUGGGCAACAUAGCGAGACCCCAUCUCU